This 297-nucleotide long non-coding RNA is filed under the name Mytilus galloprovincialis (Mediterranean mussel). The record is from RNAcentral. Lineage: Eukaryota; Metazoa; Mollusca; Bivalvia; Mytilida; Mytilidae.
CCUACUUUUUUUUAUAUUUUUAUAACAUAUUAUUUCAAAAGCCAUAUUUCAAAAUCUUAUGAAAUCCUUGUUAUUUUUUCAUACUUUUUUAAACAAAAAGGUGCCAAUGUUAAGUGAAAGAAAAAUCUAGAGAGAAUUAUUUCCCGCCAAAUUUUCAACGGCUUAUAUCUCGAAAACAAGCACACGGACCCUCCAUUUUUUUUUAUGGUUUUUUAGUUUCUUUAUUUAUAUACUUUCAAUUUAUAACAGUCUUUUAAAAAGCUUGUUAUUUGUAAACAGAGUAGCGAACAUCCUUAA